RNAcentral lists this ribosomal RNA (301 nucleotides) under uncultured bacterium. Its description in RNAcentral is "partial 16S ribosomal RNA". It matches the Rfam family "Bacterial small subunit ribosomal RNA", at positions 509 to 807 of the family's 1533-position model. The record is from RNAcentral.
CAGCGGCCGCGGUAAUACGUAGGGUGCAAGCGUUAAUCGGAAUUACUGGGCGUAAAGCGUGCGCAGGCGGUUAUAUAAGACAGAUGUGAAAUCCCCGGGCUCAACCUGGGAACUGCAUUUGUGACUGUAUAGCUAGAGUACGGCAGAGGGGGAUGGAAUUCCGCGUGUAGCAGUGAAAUGCGUAGAUAUGCGGAGGAACACCGAUGGCGAAGGCAAUCCCCUGGGCCUGUACUGACGCUCAUGCACGAAAGCGUGGGGAGCAAACAGGAUUAGAUACCCCCGUAGUCCCUGUCUCUUAUAC